Molecule: non-coding RNA, 141 nt
Filed under: Paracoccus aminovorans
Lineage: Bacteria; Pseudomonadati; Pseudomonadota; Alphaproteobacteria; Rhodobacterales; Paracoccaceae
Description: FMN sequence
Rfam family: FMN riboswitch aptamer (RFN element)
About the family: The RFN element is a highly conserved domain that is found frequently in the 5'-untranslated regions of prokaryotic mRNAs that encode for flavin mononucleotide (FMN) biosynthesis and transport proteins. This element is a metabolite-dependent riboswitch that directly binds FMN in the absence of proteins.
Source: Rfam by way of RNAcentral
CCGGGUUCUCAGGGCGGGGCGGAAUUCCCCACCGGCGGUAAGCAGCGAUGCAAGCCCGCGAGCGCCUUGCCCCGGCAAGGGUCAGCAGACCAGGUGCGAUUCCUGGGCCGACGGUCACAGUCCGGAUGGAAGAGAGCGUGC